This 474-nucleotide ribosomal RNA is filed under the name uncultured bacterium. Its description in RNAcentral is "bacterial SSU rRNA". It matches the Rfam family "Bacterial small subunit ribosomal RNA", at positions 28 to 507 of the family's 1533-position model. The record is from RNAcentral.
GAUGAACGCUAGCUACAGGCUUAACACAUGCAAGUCGAGGGGAAACGACAUCGAAAGCUUGCUUUUGAUGGGCGUCGACCGGCGCACGGGUGAGUAACGCGUAUCCAACCUGCCCACCACUUGGGGAUAACCUUGCGAAAGUAAGACUAAUACCCAAUGAUAUCCCACGAAGGCAUCCGAAUGGGAUUAAAGAUUUAUCGCUGAUAGAUGGGCUCGCGUCCGAUUAGAUAGUUGGUGAGGUAACGGCCCACCAAGUCGACGAUCGGUAGCCGGACUGAGAGGUCGAACGGCCACAUUGGGACUGAGACACGGCCCAGACUCCUACGGGAGGCAGCAGUGGGGGAUAUUGCACAAUGGGGGAAACCCUGAUGCAGCGACGCCGCGUGAGGGAAGACGGUCCUCUGGAUUGUAAACCUCUGUCUUCGGGGACGAAACGAGACGGUACCCGAGGAGGAAGCCACGGCUAACUACGUG